Non-coding RNA from Equus caballus (horse), 14634 nucleotides. The record is from RefSeq and is a predicted model, not a curated record. Lineage: Eukaryota; Metazoa; Chordata; Mammalia; Perissodactyla; Equidae.
ACCCUGGGCCACUGAAGUACAGUGUGCGAACUUAACCACUCAGCCACAGGGCUGGCCCCUAUUUUUCACUUCUUUAUGUACUAUAGAAGGCGUAGUUUAUUACAAAAGUGCUAUUAAGUGUAUCACAAUGUAUGUGAAUUUGUAUAUAGGACUUGCACAUUUCAUGAAUUUUAAUAAUAAGCAUAUAUUUCCCUGGCCAGAGCAGGAAUUUUAUUUCAAUGAUAUUACAUGAAUGCAUUAAGCAAUUACUGAACAAGAUAAUAUUACAUAUAAGAGCAUUUUAAAUUGUCAAAUAAUGUGUGUGACAUGGAUAGAUUCAAGGAGUUAUAUUUUGUAGUAUAGCCCAUAAGAACAAGAGAUUAUCUGGUUUGAAGCUCUGGUAUUAUUGGUAUUCUUUGUCGUUUUUCUGGACUGAAAUUCUCGUUAGCACAGUAACAUGAAAUCAUGGAAAUAAAACCAGCUUUAGACAGAACUGAAUUUGUGUCUGUAUCUAUCAUUUAAUAGCUCACUGUGUGACCUUCAUCAAAUUUUUCAUCACAUCACUUAAUCCUUCUAAAAAUCAGUUUCCUUAUUUUUAAGAAUGAAAACUUCCUUGCCUGCUUAUUGUGAGGAUUAUAGUAAAAGUGUAUAAAGAAUAUAUGAUGUUAUAGGAACUUCAUUAAUAGUUAAAAUUGUUAUGAAUAUUAUUUUUCUUAGAAUAUAAGUAUGAUAAACUCUGUGUCCAGAGUUGCCUGCAUUAAAUCAGCUGACAAACAAUAUUUAGCAUGUGACACGUGCUUGACAGUGUUCCCGGAGGAAAUCAAGGGUGCAACAAGGUAAACAGGGCAGUAACCCUCAUUCUUGCUUUGUAAGGCACCUUAGGUUCCUAAGAGAGUUCAGUGUGCCCCGUCUGCCCUAAAUGUCCAGGGAAUUCCUAAAGGAAAUGGUUGAAACAUAGACAAUAGCAUAGUAGAAAGAAAAUGAGUUAGUAAUAAUACCACCACUGGAACUUUAACUCUUAUGGAUUCUGUUUCCUUAUCUAUGAAAUGGGGAUAGUAGUCCAUGCCACGUAUAUCUCACAGGGUUAAAUACUGCAGGACUCUACCCAAACAUAAGUGACAACAGGAUUUUUUUCUGGCAGUUCACUGACACUAUGCUGAACCAAGUAUUCCAUUUCUAGUUAAUAUGAUCCAAUCAAGAAUAUGUUAAGUAUCCAGAUACCUACCACUGUGUUUUGUGUCUUGGAGAAUAUACAAAGUAUAAAGACUUGGUCUCUUUCUACAUUAGUUUUUUUACUGCUUCAUAACAAAUUACCAUAGUUAGCUGCUUAAAGGAGCACACAUUUAGUAGCUCACAUUUUCCAUGGAUCUGGCACAUCCUCGGCUCAGGGUCUUAUGAGUCUGAAAUCAAGGUGUCAGUUUAUGUGCACCUUCAUGUGGUGGUUUAACUAGGAAAAGAUCCACUUCCAUGCUCUUUCAAAUUGUUGGCAGAAUUCAUUUCCUUGUAGUUGUGGAACCGAGGUCUCUAUUUUCCUGCUGGCUCUCCAGGGUGGGUCUGUGGGGCUCCAAGAGGCUGCCUUGUAUUGCUGCCCCAUGGCACCCUCCAUGGGCAGUUCACCACAUGGCUGUUGGCUUUCUUUAGGACAGCGGGAAAAUGUCUCUCUAACGUUAUACCUUCUAUAAAAGAGAUCAACUCAUUAGGUCAGGCCGACGCCAAAAGAAAUUAAUCUCCCUUUUGAUGACCUCAAAAUCAAUUGAUUAGUAACUUAAUCAUGGGAGUGAUCUCCCAUUCUAUUCUCUGACCCUGUUCACACCCAAGCGGAGGAGGAGACAGAGCCUGUACACCAGAGGACAGGAACCUUGGGGGCCAUGUUAGGAUUCUCGUUAAAUUGCCCAUGUCUUGGUCCUUUAUUUUGAUGACUGGAUUUUUAAAGAGUAUGCCAGAAGAGCCCUAAUUUCUGACUGCAUAAUUCUCCCAUGUUGAGAUUAUAUAAAAAAUAUAUACUACUCACCUUUCUUUGUGACAUGAGAAUAUAAAUAAGCAGUUCUAAGCAGUUCUGUAAUACCAGUGAGCUUGCUCUGCUUAGCUAACCCCUGAUUGGCCUAAAAUGACAUGACUUAAUUUAAAUUAUGUCUCAUUGAUUGCUAAUGAGGAUAAAGAUUUUUCUAACAUGUUAUUUACCAUUUGUCUUAUUGUGAUUCUGUAAUGCAGAAACCACUUGUCUGCCUCUUACUCAGUCCUUUCUACUCCUGCUGCUCAAAUAUUUGUGGAAUAAAUAAAAUGAUAAUUUGGUGAAUUAAGUUCCUGCUCAGCAUGCGUUUUUUUAAUUUGGCAAAAAGAAGCAGUUUGAUAGGAUGUUUGGGUUUAGGAUUCAGAGGAUCUUAUUUCCAUUCCCAGCUUGGUUGCUGCCUCACUCUGUGCCUCAAGAGAACCUAUUGCAUUUCUGGGACCCAGUUUACGUUGUGUAAAAUGAGGCACCAACAUUUUAUACACUUUUUGGUAUUACUUACAUACAUUUGAGAUUUGAGAAAGAAACCGUUAUUCGCUGUUUACAUUUCAGGUCUUUGCUUUCAUUCCCCCAAGUGUGUGUCAUUUCAGAUGCCGUAUUUUAAGAAAUUCUAGCCCUUCCUCUCUGUCUCUUGUUUGGCGUUACAGUUGAAAAGCAGUACUCAGUUUACUCAGUGCUGACCGCGUAUCAGGCACUAUGUUAAGUACUUACCUGUGGCAAUUAGUUUAAUCCUGAUAAAUGGAAGGGUAGAUGCUCUCGUCCAAAUUUAAAAUUUAGGGAGUUUGAAAAUUUGAAGCUCAUGGAGGUUACAUGACAUCUCCAUGAAAUGCAGUUAUUAAAAGUCAGAACUGGGGAUUUGAAUCCAAUUCUUGUUCUGUCAUUUUCUUUCCUUUGUCUCUACUGUAAUUUUGUCUUGAUGUAUGUUGUCUCUAUUAUGGCUAUUAAAUGAUUUAAAAAUUGAUGUGAAAUGUGAAUCUGACUGUAGUAUACCCGACCCCUACUUCUGAUAUUCGUAUUGACUAGGAGUGGCAGACUUCAAGGCCCUUAAGGACAAGAACCUACAUCUCAAUUGCUAACUUUCCCACUGAUGAUUUUAACACCAGAAAGAAAAACAGUACUGAUAUUUAGUAUAUAUUCCACAUAUUAAUACUGAAAUGUCAUCAAAAAGUCUUUUGUGAAUAUAUAAAAUUUUUAAAAAAAGAAUUAAACGAAGUAGAUGGUACAUUUCAAACAGAAGAGCUAUAAACCUUACCAAAUACCAAUUAAAAUGUAAAAUUAUAAAAGAUAAAUGUGCGAUAUACAUUAUUAUUUUAUUAUAGUUUAGUAGCAGGUAGAAUAAAUUGUCACUCAUUAAUGAGUUAAAGUCUAUUAAAAUGAAGAAAUUUUGACCAUGGAAAACUUAAAUAUUAUUUCAUCAUUUCUUCAAAAAUUCAACCUUAAAUACAAAGUCCAUCAUGACGAUGUCAUUGCAGAAUCACAAGUGCCUUUUUGUGUGAAGUUUUCCAGCUGCUGGAAAAACUUUUUAUAACUCUAAACAAGUUUAGAGAAUGGUGAAAAGAUAGUUACAAGCUGACUCUUAGUAUUUUCCUCAUCUGUGAUUCUUUAGAAAAUAAGCCCAACUCCUGUUUGAGGUGAUCUUUAGGUUCUUUUUUGGGGGGGAAGUAGGUGCUGUGGAUAGAACUACAAUAGUUUUUAUAACAAGCUGAGGCUAUAGCAAUGUAGUUUUCUAAUUAAAAAAUGCAUUUCUGAUCACCUUAAUAUUCUUUUGUUUCCUCUAGUAUUUUUAGAGAUUCUGUUAUAUUUUAUUUUAGCUUCUCAUGUUCCUAUUCAGCUUGUGUAGCAAAUUAUUAAAUCAAAUAAAAGGUUAUUCUUAAUAUAGAAGCAUUGCUUUCUGAAUUGGCAUUUUCUUCCUCUCUUUGGAGACUAUGGAAGUAGAAAGGAUGCUUUUGAAACAUCCUUUGUUAGAUUCAAAAUUGUAAUGUGGCAUGUAAAUGUCUGAGUGUGUCUGUAGAUACAGUGUUUCAUAUUUGAUAUAUAUUAAUAUACCAAAACAAUAUUAUUAUACUAACAAAAAUAGUAUUAUUUCACUAUGUAAAAAUAGUACACAAUACCAAAUACUGUAAAGUAGUAUUGUAAUCACUAUUCCCUCAGACCCUAGCAUGGUCUCAGGGAGUAAGUGUACACACGCGCGUGCUUGCACACACACACACACACGUGUGUGUGUGUAUGUAUACAUUGUAGGAUAAACAUUGUAGGAUACAAUGUAUACAUACACACACACAUCUAUAAUCCUUUCCUUCAGUUAAAAAUAAAGAAUUGUACUUGAACCAGGAUAUGUACUACAUUAGGUUGAUGUAAAAAGGAAGAAAACACAAUCCCCAGACUUGAGGAACUUCUAGUCUAAUGAAACUCAGACUUCAUUAUUCUUAUGAGUAUGCUUUUUGUGAGGGAAUUAAAAAUCUUUGAUAAGUGAGAAAAAGAAAGUUACUACUAUCUCUUCCUAUAUAUGCCAUUGUUCUUUUACUGGAAAGAACUAGAAUUAUGAGAACAGAUUUUAUUUCAUUUAAAGCUGCAGAUGUUAUUAACAAAUAUAAGCACACUUCACUCUAUGUGAUAGAUUAAUCUCUGAAAAAUCACUUAUAAUUUAAAAACUUUUAUAAGUGCUAGUGAAGAUGAGCUAACCAAAGAAUCUUUUUAGAAGCAAGGAAUCGGCCUGUAAUAUCUGUAGUAAGUAAUUGGUCUUUACAUAUACCAGGUUGUCUCAGAGUAUACCCUUAUCACAUUCUCCCAAAGCAGAUUCAAGCUAAUCUCCUGACAAUUUUGUUGAAUAGUUCUCAAUGUUGGAAUUAAAUUUGCAUGUCUGUGGCUCCAGUUAUGAGUCCUUUUUCAUAGUUUUAUCCUACACUGAGUUUUCAUUUAUGUCUCCAACCAGUCUUUAUAUAUCUUUAGAAAUAUGGUUUAUAGUUUCUUCAGUGCUUCGUUGCUGUCGGACGUACUAGUGCUUUUGAUUAAUUGCACUAAAGGUGAUAUAAAGAUUCUAUUACUACUUUCCAAGUGUCAACACUUUCAUACCUUAAAAUGUGUGUUUUUCUUAUCCCUAAGAAAUUAAAUGACCUGCCACAGUUAUGACAUCCUUUAGCCAUAAAGAGAGUAUUACAAGUAAUAAAUAAUAUGACCAUCAUCUACUAAUAAGAAUGGUGGAAGCUCAGGGGAAAUAACUCUAUUUAUGAACCCCGGGACUUGUCAUUUUCGCUUUUCCUCCCCCAUUGACACUAUGCUAGUACAGCACACCAUUGUCUUCUGCCUGCACUGCAGCAGUUCUUAACUGGUCUCUCUUUAACUGCCCUUGUCCUAGUCUAAUCACAUCAACACGGAGCACUGAUAUAUUGUUUUUAAUGCAAAUAUGAUCAUAGCAAUGGCUUUCUUCUCCUAAAAUCAUCAAAGGCAUCUUUUAUAAAGUUCAUUUUCAGCAAUAUCAUGGAUUAUAAGUCCCACGUGAUUUAGCUUUGACUAUCUCACUGGCUCAGCUAGUGCUCCUUUCUAUCUCCCCACAUUCUGUCCACAAUGGCCUUUUAAAUCUACUCUAUGUUUUCUGCUUCAGGAAUUCCACAUGCUGUUGCUUCUACCUAGAGGUUGUCCACGCCUCCAUUUCAUAGCUCAGCUCAGAUUUCACUACUUCAACCUUCCCAAGUCUAGAUCAUUGCCCUGUUAUAUGCCUUUUUACUAUCCUAUAAUUCUGCUUCCUACCACUUCUCAUAAUUUUGUUAAAUAACUAAUAGCGUAGGUAGUAGUUUGAUGUCAGUCUCCUUGAUGAGAAUCCAGGGACAAUGGUCGUCUUGAUCACUGCUAUACCCAUAGUACCCAAUUAGGUUCUCAGUCACUGUUUGGUGGAUGAAUGAAUGAAUACAUGUUUCAAGAAUAACUCAUCAGUAUCCAACAAGCCUUUUGUAUUAUAGUGUUUCAUACCCUGCAUCUAUUGUGGAUAAUUUAGAUAGAGUCUAGAUUUUCUUUUUAUUCGUUCAUCAAACAAUGAUACUGUAUCUCUUUUGCUCCGGCAUUGUAUUAGGUCUAGAAUUCAAAGAUAAAUAAAACGAAUCCCUGUUUUUUAUUUAGAUGAUACUUUCCACUUGGGGGUUUGGGCAAGUUUUUAGGGACUCACUGUGUCAUUCUGGUAUAUUAGUGAUUAUAAAUCUCAUGCUACAGGGGAAAGCAUUGAGAAUUAUUGGGAUUGCCCUGAUCUAUAUUCACGGGCUGUAUUCUUCCUAAAUCAGAUUAGCUAUCAAAGUAUUCUUGUUAAAAAUAUAAAUGUCCCAGUCCCUUCCCCCUGACUCAUAGUCUGCAGGAAGGGGCCUAUGUUGAUGUAGUUUUUUAGCAAGUACCACCAGGUUAUUCUUAUCAAUGAUUUUAAAACAUUUUUAAAAACAUUUAAGAAUAUUUGGAUUGGCAUAAUAUUAAAGAUUAUAUCAUAAAAUUUAUUUUAAUACAUCUUAGUAAUACUUAUACAGAAAAUGUUCAAUUUUUCUACUUACAGCUUUGUUUAAUUUACUGUGAAUGACUUGUAUGAGAAAGGGCAUGAUUUGUGAAGGAAAAAUUCAAAGAUCGCAUAUGGAGUUUGGUUUAGGAACUAAAAUAUGUUAAAAUAUAGGUAGAAUUUUAGUAGGUCUUCUAACAUCAAAGAUAGGUCAAAAAUACUUUCAAUUAUUCUUCUGUUUUCCACUGAAACAACAUACCAUUUACUUUAUAUGUGUCCUGUUUUGCUUCUAAAUGAUGCGAUAGGGGAGAUGGCUUUCUGAUGCUGUUUACAAAAUCUCUCUGAAGAAUAAUACCUUUAGAUUGAGUGCAGACUUUGCCAUGGUAUAUAAAAAGAAUAACAGAUAUAAUUCUAACUAAAUAUAUGUAUUUAAACGUUGAUGUUUGAUGUGUUAGAGAAGCCUUGGAAUGCUGCUGUCUUGGGAAUUUUCAGAGUUACUGUAUUAUGCUUUUGAUUAACUUGUAAAAAUUCUAUGACUGUUUUUUUCAUGUUUCCUGCCCAUAAGUAGUAGUCAUUUGUGGGAUAAAUUUUUAAAUCAAAUUAAAUUUUAAAAUAUGUGACUAAUAUAAACAAUUAAAAUCAAUAUAAUUCUCAAAACCCUCAUGGCAUCCAGGAGUAUUCAGGUGAAGGAAAAAGGAAGACUUGAACAUACUCUUCCGAUCUCCACUAUUUUCUAUAUAUAAACACCUGAGAUGCACUUGAAGUUUUCGGUCUAAAUGUUAAAUAACAUUUUAUUUUUGAUUAAAAGUAGAAGUGGAAAUAGACUUUAUUAAAGUCUUUUCGUGGAAGGCACUCUGUGGAGCAGCCUCAUAAUCUUCUGAAGGUUCACAGACUUCCAUUUAGGCAAUGUGGCUGUGAAGAACUUAAACACCAUCUAGUUCCACCUUUGGAGUAUUUGUCUUCAGGUUCAGGGAAGAGGUUGGCACAACGUCCGUCUAUGGCAGAUCCUUCCCUGUUUUAAAACAUCUUCAUGCCUUCUUCCUUGUCUUAAAACAGGCAUCACAGAAAUAAAAAUCCAACCUCGCCAUGAUGUCAACAGUAACAUCACUUGGCUUUUGAAGUGAAUUUCUGGAAGAGGAAUUGCCAUGAUGGUUGGUGACUGAUGGAAUCCAGGAUGAUUCCAUUUCUAAGGACUAAUCACUGCAACACUUUUCAACAUCUGCUCCCUGACAUCACCUCAAUAUGUCCCUCAUCCUCACAAGCUCUCAUUGGUCAUAAGGCCCUAGAAAGUUGAAAAGUAAGCACUCUUCCGUGAAAUGCCUGGGGACUCUUUAUAAGUAUUACUUAGGAUUACUUGUGUCUGGAAACCACUUCUGAAUGGGGAGGAGUAAAGGGAGUCCCUCUAAUUCCAAACCCAAGCAUUUAUAGCAUAACAAGUAUUAUCUGCCAAUCCUCAGAGAACCCAUAGCCUUCAUAAACUCAUUUAUUGAAGAAGCCUCGACUGUACUAGGAAUUUAGGCCAGAAGAACAGUUUGGGGGGAAUGUUUUUGCCUGCCCCUAUUGAUUAGUUUUUACUUGCAAAAUAUUGUUCAGUGAGGACAUAUUCAGAUACCCUGAUGUCCAUCAGGUAAAACGACUUUGAGUUAAGGCUAACUCAUUGUACUUUAGGAGUUUUCUUUUUCUUUUUCAUUUUUAGUAUUCACAAGACCUUCAAAUUAAUCAAUUUUCACCUUUCAGGCAGAACAUGCUUAAACUUUGAGUUGUAAUAUAAACAUGAUUAUUUUUUCCUUUUGAGAAAUGUUGUUAGCUAUUGCCAUGGUUUAAUCAAAAAUCUAUUGUUAUUGGAAUUGUCUUCGAUUAUUCUCCUGUGACAAUGAAAAUCCAAUACCCUCUCGUUCCUUUUAGCCCCUUGCCUUGCAAGCAUUUAUCAAGAGUAGAAUGGAUUUUUGAUGACUGUGGAGUUUAGGGAAUAACAUCUUAGAAUGGAGAAAUUAAUGAGUAUGAAACAAAGAGAAGCACUCCUUAUGAAGGACAGUGAUAAUGAAGCUGUAAACAUUUCUCAAGCUUGUUUGGCAUAUGUUGUUUGGAUUGGUAUUUAGAUUAUGUAAACACAGAUUCUUGAGUGACAAAGAAUUUUUUUAGUUGAUGAAUGAAAAAUGUGAAUUUUGUAGAAUAAAUUACUAUAUGUACUUGGAAUCUCAAAGAGACAUCCCUAAAAUAAUGUAAAAGGUAAUAGUUCAGAACAGUACUGUCAAAUAGAAAUAUAAUGUGAGCUACACAAAUAAUUUAAAAUUUCUAGUAGGCACAUUAAAAAGUCCGUAAAACAAAACAGAUGACAUUUAUUUUAAUAAUAUAUUUUGACAUAAUAUACCCCAAAUAUUAUUUUUGAACAUAGAAUUAAUAUAAAAAUAUUAGCGAGAUUAUUUAUGUUACUUUUUCAGAAUAAAUUAUCAAAAUCUGGUGCGUAUUUUUGAAGGGAAAAACUCUGUUUCUCCUCUACUCACCAUACUUCUGACACUAGGUGUGUGUGGGUUUUUCCCACACCAAGCAAUUCUCCAAUUUUCAUCUGACAUCAGCUGAAUGUCCUACAAAUUUAACUGAAUUCUGACACCAUCUACCUGGAAAUAGUGUCCGAUCUCACAGGUUAAGGACUCAGUUCCACAAGCCUGUCCCCACUUCAGAUGCCAAUUGCAAGACAGAUUGUCACCAGUACUUCUAACCAGCCAGCCAUAAGUUGGAGUUUCCCACAGUCCCCUCCACAGGUUCGAUAAUUUGCUGGAAAGGCUCACAGAACUCAGGGAAACAUUUACUUAUGUUUACUGAUUUAGUGUAAAAGGUUGCAACUCAGGAAGAGCCAGAUGGAAGAGAUGCAUAGGGCAGGGUAUGGGGAAAGAGAUGUGAAACUUCCAUGGCCUCUCUGGGCAUACCACUCUGCCAGCACCUUCACAUGUUCACCAAGUAGGAAGCUCAUCAAAUCUCAAGAGUUUUUAUAGAGCUUAAUCUUCAGCGCCUCCACCCCUUCUCCUUCCUAGGAGUCGGCAGGUGGUGCUGAAAGUUCCAACCCUCUCAUCACUUGGUCUUUCUGGUGACCAGCCCCCAUCCUGAGGCUGUCUAGAGGCGCCACUCUGAGUUACCUCAUUAGUAUAAACUCCACUGUGCUCAAAAGGAGUUUGUUAUGAAUAACAAAAGACACUCCUAUCACUCAGGAUUUCCCAAGUGUUGUAGGAGCUCAGUGCCAGGAACUGGGGACAAAGCCCAAAUAUAUUUCUUCUUAUAUCACAAUAUUACAUUUAUAGCACAUCUCACUUCCAAUCAGCCAUGUUUCAAGUGGCUAAUGGCACCUGCCUCUAGUGGCUAUUGUGUAGGACAGGGCAGGGAUAGAAAAAGCACUGGAUAUACUCUCUGUGAGAUGAGGCAGCCCACUUAAUUUUUCAUUGCCUCAGUAUCUUCGUUUGUCAGAUAAAUCGGUUAGAUGAAUCGUUUAUGCUGUUAUUUUCAAUAUUAUAUUCUGUUACUCUAGAAAGUUAUGUUAUACAACUUAAGAAAAGACUGUGUAAUAUAUUGUUGAAAAGGUUUGUAUAGCAAGAAGUAAUGUAAUAGGAUGUGGCCUCUUCAGUGAGGUGCAUUGUAUCAUUAGAAUAAAAUAUCACAGUACUCUGUGCAUCAUUAUAAAAUGCCUUUAAUUUGUGAGGAGGAUUCAAUCACCAUUAUACCUUCAAGUCAGAAUGAAGCAUGAUUUUGCCUCUAGGUGAUUAAAGAAUUUUAUUGUUACACAUACUUACUUCUUUAGCCUUUUUAUUUUUUAAGGGCAUUGUUUAAUGACCAAGUGCUUUAUUUGAUGUUACGUCAAUUUGCUCAGAUAAUUAAAUCCUCAGCAAUCAGGUAGUGCAUAUUUUUCAGAAAUUAGAGACUCUGUGGAUGACCUCACAGGACAGAUAUUUUUUCUGACUACAUAAAAAGUUUAAAAUUAUAAUAUAUAAUUUGUUCUUACUGAAUUCUGUUGAAGAAAGUAAUUUGAAAAGUCAAUAAAUAAAGUUGGCCCAAAUUGGAUGAAACUUGCAAAAGAUGUUGCUUAUUAAAAAAAUAAUUUAAUUGUACUCAAAUCUUUCCUUAGGGGAAGGAAAAACUCUGUUGUCUUUGAAUAUCCCUAGAAAUGAAGUUUAAUUUCUACUAUUUUCCGCAUUUCUCAUUUGUAUAUUAAUGUUUUUUUUAAAAUUGAGGAGACAUUUGUAACUACCUAAUGAUGAAAAUUGCGCAGGUGACCUUUUAAUUCUAUGUCUGCUGCUGGGUUCCCUGACUACACGUCUCAUUCUACAGACUCUUGAAGCAAUUUAGGACUUGAUCUGUGCCAAGAACUGUGUUAGGCACUUGAGAUUAAAAAGUGAGUAACACAAAGUCUCUUAAGAAACAGAGAGAUGGCAGAGACAGACAUGGAUGUAGCUUAGCACCAUGUGACAGUUGCUCUGGGGGUUUGGAAAGGAGGCCUGUGUGACUGAUGAUGAAGGGGUACUGAGGAAGGAAUAUUUCAGAGAAGAGGAAUACUUUGUACUACAUGGAGUUGGCCAGUGGAAUGCUGGAUCUGAAGGAAAGAGAGAAUGUCACGUGACAUGGCAUAGAGGAUGUCUGGGGAAUGCCAAAACUCAUUGCAGCACGUUGUGUGCUAGGCUGGGGGUACAUUAGCACCGUUACAGGAGCAGAAUCCCUCUCUGCAUCAAUCAUAGUGCCUGACACAGUGGAGGCCCUCAAAUAUGUAUAUUACAAAUAUAUAUACAUACGUAUGUAUAUAAAAUAAACAUGAAAGACUCCCCCUUAAUAUGUAAUUAAAUUUUACCUUAAUAUAUUCUUGGAGAGUAAGAAUGAACAAUAAUGGGUUUUGCUACUUUGUUUCACUAUGAAAAGAGCAUUAGAAUUACAUGUGUCAUUCAAUAUUUAUUCAACAAAUGUUUAUUGGGCACCUAGUAUAUGCCAGAAACUGAUGUAGGCAUGGGGAUACAGCAGGCAACAAAAUGGAAAAUCUGGUUUUCUCAUAGAGCCUAUGUACCAUUCCAUGCACUACAGGAAUUAUUGGAGUGAUUGCCAUUCAUGAAACUGGAUUGCACGUGAGACACCAUAUAUGGCCAAGCAGAUGAUAACAAAUGAGAAACAAAAAAACUGUCAUUCAUUCACAAACUCAUUAAACAAAUAUUUACUGAACUUUAGUUAUGUACCAGGCAUUAUGCCUAAGGCCUUGAAAACUAGAAAAAGGAGUGAAGAGAAGGGAGGUUGAGAACAUACAGACUUUGGAGUUUAUUUGGUUGAAGUAACUUCUAGAAAUAUCCUAUCAUAUCAAAAUUGAUCUCUGUAGGCAUUGUUUCCUUUUUCUGCCAUUUAGUUUUCGUCACUAUUUAUGUGCAGAUCUGCAAGCAGUUUGGAAGAGUGUUAAAAAUAAUAAUACUAUGACUACUUUGCAGCUGUUGAAAUUACAGUGAAACAUUGAAAGGCUAUGAUCAUUUACUUGACAAAAGAGUGUAUUAUUGUUCAACUAGAACUACUGUGCUCUGUCCUAAGAGAAAGAUUAGAAUAAUAAAUAUAAAUAGAGCCGACUAUAGUGUAAGCAUAAUGAGCUUAAUGCUGUUCUAUGCCUAAAGUAAAAAUCCUACUGAUUUUAAUUGCUUUCUGAAAACUUUAUUGUAUUUUUAAUCUACCCCAAAAAUAAAGGGCAUGAAAGUCUUGGGGACAUGUCAGUUUACCUCCAAUAAUAAAGGUGUUGAUAGUUUAAGCCCUGGACCUAUUUCCUUGGAAUGGGAUAAUUAGCACACACAGAACAAAAUGCAUUUUAGCAAAAUUAUUUGCUUAUUUGCAUCAUAUCAGGAGCACAUAUUUCAGAAUUGAAGUCAGCUGAGAUUAAAGGAAAUACAUAUGUUAAUAGAGUUGAUAGAAAUACUUUAUGUGGAGUUUAGAUCUAUGAAAAAAUUCUUCCGGCAUUCCUCGAAUCUUUUUCCCACAUUGUCAGCAUUGCAGAUUCUGAUAUAACUCUUCAAAUAAACGCAUCUACAUUCACUUUAAAUUGACGGUCUGUGGAUUUAUAAAGAGCAUCUUGGCAUCAGAUUUAUGUCUGUAGUAUAAUAUAUUUGCCAAAGAAAACAAUAAUCCUCAUAGGUAUUGUUAUUCUUAUUUUAUAUAGCAAGCUGCCAAAUUAUAUUCCUACCACCGUUCAAUGAGAAGGUAUUAUCCAGUUGGAGUAGGAUCACAAUGAUCGUUGGACACUUGCUGUGGUAAGAAAUCUUGACCUGUGUGUCCUUUGAAUAGGAGGCCACUAUGAGGUGGUAUCUGGGGUGUAAAGAAGGGCCCUCUGGCUCAUGAAUAUCUCUGAUGGUCGUGCCUUUAGAGUCCUCUCAGAGUUGCCUCUUUAGGUCACAGUUUGCAUUUGUCCACUGUUAGAGGAAGUGAGCAGUGCUGGUUUUGCUAGAGGCAGGGGGUUCUGUAUUGGCUUGUAGCCUGGAACCUUAGAGAACCAGGCCUAGAUGGUAUGGGAUGUAGGCAGAUGGAGGAGCAAAAAGCUUCUAGGUGUGGUCAAUGUUUUGUGAUCUUGAAAGCAAUAUCACACUUAUUAUCAUAUUAACGAGUGAUAGUUUAUUUGACUUUACUAUGAGAUAACACUCUUCUGAGGACUAUGAUACAUUUUCUCAUUUAAUCCUCACAGUGACCCUUCGUGAUAGGCCACUCAUUUUAUGAAUGAGGAAAGGAAGGCACAGAAAGUAAAAAGUGGAAGUAUUAAUGAUGUAUUUAACAGGGCUUUCAUUCACUGAGCACUUAACAUGUGCAAGCACAUAACUUAAAUCAUUUAACCUAUGGAUUUAAGCUUUAGGAGGUGGGUAUUACUGCUAUACUCAUUUACAAAUGAGGAAAUUGAUUUAUUGAGAAGUUAAAGAAUAUGCCCAAGAUCCCACAGCUAGUAAAUGCCAGAGCUAGGGUGUAAACCCAGAUGAUACCGCCUUCUUUUCCUUUAGAGGAAUAAGGACUAAUUUUCCUAUUUCCUAAGCAUCUUACCUGCCUGGACCCUAUACUGGACAUUAUGGAAAAUGGAUUAAAAACAGAAGCCACUUGAGUAACUUAUUGUCUAAUUAGAGACAGGACAAAAAUAUUAAAAGAUGAGGAGAUAAGACAGCAGAAUAAGUGAGAGAGCUUGAGCCUGGAGAAACAGUGUGGUCCCCAGGAAAACACACUUGGGCCUUAAAUUCUGAUAGGCCUGAGUUUGCUUUCCAAUGUCAGUACCUCCUAGCUGUGCCCUCAUGGGAAAGUUAUUUAGUCUCGUUGAACUUCUGUUUCCCCAACUAUAUAAUGGGGCCCCCAAGAAAAUGCAGCUAAAUGAGUAUCAAGAGCUUCCAUUUAUUAAGGGCUUCAUGUGUACCAGCCAUUGACUUUAAGAACUGGACAUAAUUUAUCUCAUUUAAUCCUUUAAACAGCCUUUCGGGGUGUAAGUAUCAUCAGUGCCAUUUCACAGAUGAGAAACUGAGUCAUGGAGAAGUUGACUUAACCACAUCCCUGGGGAAGCAGUGGAACUAGGGUUUAAAUCUGUGUGAUGUGAUAGAGAUCAUUGCUCUUGAUCAUUUGAUGACCACUUUUCCAAAGUAAAAUUUCUGAGACUGGAUCUAACUUGUGAGUGAUAUGAUGAACCCAUAUCCCUUAGUUGUGUCUUUGAUUAGAUACUUUUGUUUGGAAAUGCAUUAAAAAAUACUUCAAGGAAGAAAAGUUAGUGUAUAAACAAUUAAAUCUCUUUACUCCUUUUAUACUCUCCAUUAUUGAUUUAACCUUCUGCUCUCACUUUUCCAGAAAAGCAUUGAAUAAUCAUAGAUGUUUCAGAGACAUUCUUAUAGAGACUGUUAGCUUGCCCCAUCCUCUCAUAUUACUGAGGGAGGAAUUGAGGGUGAGAGAGGGGAAGUCUUACCCAAGACCAAUUUGUAAUGCCAGAACGAGGAUGAAUACUCAGGUUUCUAGUGCUUUUUUUGUCAGUACCAGACAAUCUGCUUUAGUUAAGACCUUGUAGGGGAAAAAGGCCUUGGUGAAGAAUAAUAUAUUUCUUAAAAUAGACAGUUUAAUCAUGCUACAAAUUUAGGGCUAUAUCUCAUGGAAUUUUCUAAGAUAACUAAUUGAAGAGAAGUAAAUUCCACUCAAUUAAGUCAGCAUUCUCAAACAC